Non-coding RNA from Parasteatoda tepidariorum (common house spider), 432 nucleotides. The record is from RefSeq and is a predicted model, not a curated record. Lineage: Eukaryota; Metazoa; Arthropoda; Arachnida; Araneae; Theridiidae.
UGAAAAUAUUUAAUGAAAAUUUAAAUAUUUUUAUUGUAAGAAGCCAUCACUGCAUGUAUUGCUAAUUUCUUUCGCAUUAAGACAUAUAUUUUUUUACUUUAGUGUUUAUUCAGGUUACCAUACCAUUUUAAUCCCACCAUCUGAAGUUGAAAUUAAUCCUGCCCUUUGGUUGUCAACAAUUAGGCAAUGCAAAGAGUUCGUGAUGCAUUCUGUUCCUAUGGCAUUAUGGAACUUUGCACAAAAGGCUUAGGAUCAUCUAUUAGCCAAUUGAAGAGAGGGAUAAACUUGAGCUGCGUUCAAUCCUGUGUUGUUGUAGCUGAGAAGAGGCCUAGAGUUGGAUUAACAACCUCAUUCUCUAAAUUAUUUUCUGCUUUCAUAAACUAUAUUGUAUACAAAUCCAACUGAGAGUGAACGUCUUAGCUUUUUAAAGGU